RNAcentral lists this ribosomal RNA (437 nucleotides) under uncultured bacterium. RNAcentral's name for it is "bacterial SSU rRNA". It matches the Rfam family "Bacterial small subunit ribosomal RNA", at positions 8 to 454 of the family's 1533-position model. The record is from RNAcentral.
AGAGUUUGAUCCUGGCUCAGAUUGAACGCUGGCGGCAUGCCUUACACAUGCAAGUCGAACGGUAACAGGUUAAGCUGACGAGUGGCGAACGGGUGAGUAAUAUAUCGGAACGUGCCCAGUAGUGGGGGAUAGCCCGGCGAAAGCCGGAUUAAUACCGCAUACGACCUACGGGUGAAAGGGGGGGAUCGCAAGACCUCUCGCUAUUGGAGCGGCCGAUAUCAGAUUAGCUAGUUGGUGGGGUAAAAGCUCACCAAGGCGACGAUCUGUAGCUGGUCUGAGAGGACGACCAGCCACACUGGGACUGAGACACGGCCCAGACUCCUACGGGAGGCAGCAGUGGGGAAUUUUGGACAAUGGACGAAAGUCUGAUCCAGCCAUGCCGCGUGCGGGAAGAAGGCCUUCGGGUUGUAAACCGCUUUUGUCAGGGAAGAAAAGCU